UUGGAGGGCAAGUCUGGUGCCAGCAGCCGCGGUAAUUCCAGCUCCAAUAGCGUAUAUUAAAGUUGUUGCAGUUAAAAAGCUCGUAGUUGAAUUUCGGGAUCAAAUAAUCGGUCGUGCCUCCGGUACGUACUGGUUUUAUUGGUUCCUCCCUUCUGACGAACCAUGAUGUCAUUAAUUUGAUGUGGUGGAGAAUCAGGACUGUUACCUUGAAAAAAUUAGAGUGUUUAAAGCAGGUUAACGCUUGAAUACAUUAGCAUGGAAUAAUGAAAUAGGACGUUCGACCCUAUUUUGUUGGUUUCUAGGAUCGACGUAAUGAUUAAUAGGGAUAGUUGGGGGCAUUAGUAUUCAAUUGUCAGAGGUGAAAUUCUUGGAUUUAUUGAAGACUAACUACUGCGAAAGCAUUUGCCAAGGAUGUUUUCAUUAAUCAAGAACGAAAGUUAGGGGAUCGAAGACGAUCAGAUACCGUCGUAGUCUUAACCAUAAACUAUGCCGACUAGGGAUCGGAUGAUGUUAAUUUUUUAAUGACUCAUUCGGCGCCUUACGGGAAAC
Molecule: ribosomal RNA, 549 nt
Filed under: uncultured Glomus
Lineage: Eukaryota; Fungi; Glomeromycota; Glomeromycetes; Glomerales; Glomeraceae
Description: SSU rRNA
Rfam family: Eukaryotic small subunit ribosomal RNA
Source: RNAcentral